Molecule: ribosomal RNA, 206 nt
Filed under: uncultured bacterium
Lineage: Bacteria
Description: partial 16S ribosomal RNA
Rfam family: Bacterial small subunit ribosomal RNA
Source: RNAcentral
CGCAGGCGGUCAGAUAAGUCGAAUGUGAAAGCCCCCGGCUCAACUGGGGAGGGUCAUUCGAUACUGUUCGACUCGAAGGCAGGAGAGGGAAGCGGAAUUCCCGGUGUAGUGGUGAAAUGCGUAGAUAUCGGGAGGAACACCAGUGGCGAAGGCGGCUUCCUGGCCUGUUCUUGACGCUGAGGCGCGAAAGCUAGGGGAGCAAACGG